GAUCUGACAUGAUCUAACCGUGUCUCAAAGAGACUUUCAGUCCGGCUCUUCUCAGAGUGAACACUUGUACAAUGGAUCUUCAUUCAGUUAUUCUGUUCUAUGCCUCAGCAGCUGUGGUCUUUGGAAAUUUCAUCAAACCAAACAAAACCGAUGUUAUUUAUGAGGAGGGUUCAAGUGUUACAUUACUCUGUAGUCAUUCACCUGCAGCUACAGAUUAUCUCCACUGGUACCGUCAGUAUGGAAGAUCAAAACCUGAAUUUCUUGUACUCGCCUACGGUAGUGCAAAAGAAACGGAGGUGUCUGAUGUAGAUCCAAGAUUCUCUGUUACAGUUGAAAAAGGGGAGAAAAUCCAUGUGGAUCUGAAGAUCUCCUCUGCUGCUGUAUCAGACUCUGCUCUGUACUACUGUGCUCUGGCGCCCACAGUGACAGGAAACACAUCAGCUCUCUACAAAAACCUGUUACAAUGAGAGACAAGAGAGAAAAGACAAAGGCAAUGAGAGAGUGGUAACUGCCAAUUACAGUAAUAUGUCUGAGAAAUAACUAGAACAAGUAAAUAAACCACAGGCAGUUACUGAAGUCAGAAAGUAGACAACU
Onychostoma macrolepis is the source of this 594-nucleotide non-coding RNA. The record is from the annotation of a RefSeq genome assembly. Lineage: Eukaryota; Metazoa; Chordata; Actinopteri; Cypriniformes; Cyprinidae.